This 383-nucleotide ribosomal RNA is filed under the name uncultured bacterium. RNAcentral describes it as "bacterial SSU rRNA". It matches the Rfam family "Bacterial small subunit ribosomal RNA", at positions 30 to 416 of the family's 1533-position model. The record is from RNAcentral.
AUUGAACGCUGGCGGAAUGCUUUACACAUGCAAGUCGAACGGCAGCACGGGGCAACCUGGUGGCGAGUGGCGAACGGGUGAGUAAUACAUCGGAACGUGCCCAAUCGUGGGGAUAACGUAGCGAAAGUUACGCCAAUACCGCAUACGAUCUACGGAUGAAAGCGGGGGAUCGCAAGAUCUCGCGCGAAUGGAGCGGCCGAUGUCAGAUUAGGUAGUUGGUGGGGUAAAGGCUCACCAAGCCAACGAUCUGUAGCUGGUCUGAGAGGACGACCAGCCACACUGGAACUGAGACACGGUCCAGACUCCUACGGGAGGCAGCAGUGGGGAAUUUUGGACAAUGGGCGCAAGCCUGAUCCAGCCAUUCCGCGUGCAGGAUGAAGGCC